AAGAAAAUAAAAAUAACCGGCUGGGUGCGGUGGCUCACGCCUGUAAUCCCAGCACUUUGGGAAGCCGAGGCGGGCGGAUCACGAAGUCAGGAGAUCUAGACCAUCCUGGCUAACACGGUGAAAUCCCAUCUCUACUAAAAAUACAAAAAAAUUAGCCAGGCAUGGUGGCGGGCACCUGUAGUCCCAGCUACUCGGGAGGCUGAGCUGACUUUGGUGUGUCUGCCAAGAAUCUGAAGACUCUACAGAAACGAGAUUCCUUCAUCGGCACGCCUUACUGGACUCUGUGUUCCGGGUUGCUGCUGCCAUCUCGCGGUAGGCAUCGGAACUGCAGCAGGACGUGGCGGGGAGCCGCGUGGAAGCGUUUUUCUGUGGAAGAGCGUCCUAAGGAAGACAGUGGGAUGCAAAGUCACGCAGAUCAUGAUUCGGGAGUGCUGCCAACCCCGACAGUGACUCGUGGUGGCCCUUGACCCUGAAUGUCCAAGAAGCACCUGUAAAGGCCAGAUUCUUAGCCCUAUGUUGUCCCUUGGUUGGUUCA
Molecule: small RNA, 535 nt
Filed under: Pongo abelii (Sumatran orangutan)
Lineage: Eukaryota; Metazoa; Chordata; Mammalia; Primates; Hominidae
Description: processed transcript
Source: RNAcentral